CCUACGGUGGGCAGCAGUGAGGAAUAUUGGUCAAUGGGCGCGAGCCUGAACCAGCCAAGUCGCGUGAGGGAAGACGGUCCUAUGGAUUGUAAACCUCUUUUGUCGGGGAGCAAAAGACGCCCCGCGUGGCGUUCCGAGAGUACCCGCAGCAAAAGCAUCGGCUACAUCCGUGCCAGCAGCCGCGGUAAUACGGAGGAUGCGAGCGUUAUCCGGAUUUAGUGGGUUUAAAGGGUGCGAGGGCGGAAGAUCAAGUCAGCGGUAAAAUUGAGAGGCUCAACCUCGUCGAGCCGUUGAAACUGGUUUUCUUGAGUGAGUGAGAGGUAUGCGGAAUGCGUGGUGUAGCGGUGAAAU
RNAcentral lists this ribosomal RNA (351 nucleotides) under uncultured bacterium. RNAcentral's name for it is "partial 16S ribosomal RNA". It matches the Rfam family "Bacterial small subunit ribosomal RNA", at positions 338 to 687 of the family's 1533-position model. The record is from RNAcentral.